CAAUAGCGUAUAUUAAAGUUGUUGCAGUUAAAACGCUCGUAGUCGGAUUUCGGGGCGGGGCGACCGGUCUGCCGAUGGGUAUGCACUGGUCGGCGCGUCCUUCCUUCCGGAGACCGUUCCUACUCUUAACUGAGCGGGGACGGGAGACGGAUCGUUUACUUUGAAAAAAUACAGAGUGUUUCAAGCAGGCAACUCGCUUUGCAUGGAUUAGCAUGGGAUAAUGAAAUAGGACUUUGGUGCUAUUUUGUUGGUUUCGAACACCGAAGUAAUGAUUAAUAGGGACAGUCAGGGGCGACUCGUAUUCCGCCGAGAGAGGUGAAAUUCUCAGACCAGCGGAAGACGAACCACUGCGAAAGCAUUUGCCAGGGAUGUUUUCACUGAUCAAGAACGAAAGUUAAGGGGAGUCGAAGAUGAUUAGAUACCAU
RNAcentral lists this ribosomal RNA (425 nucleotides) under uncultured eukaryote. RNAcentral's name for it is "SSU rRNA". It matches the Rfam family "Eukaryotic small subunit ribosomal RNA", at positions 592 to 1018 of the family's 1831-position model. The record is from RNAcentral.